UGCAGUCGAGCGGACAGAUGGGAGCUUGCUCCCUGAUGUUAGCGGCGGACGGGUGAGUAACACGUGGGUAACCUGCCUGUAAGACUGGGAUAACUCCGGGAAACCGGGGCUAAUACCGGAUGGUUGUUUGAACCGCAUGGUUCAAACAUAAAAGGUGGCUUCGGCUACCACUUACAGAUGGACCCGCGGCGCAUUAGCUAGUUGGUGAGGUAACGGCUCACCAAGGCAACGAUGCGUAGCCGACCUGAGAGGGUGAUCGGCCACACUGGGACUGAGACACGGCCCAGACUCCUACGGGAGGCAGCAGUAGGGAAUCUUCCGCAAUGGACGAAAGUCUGACGGAGCAACGCCGCGUGAGUGAUGAAGGUUUUCGGAUCGUAAAGCUCUGUUGUUAGGGAAGAACAAGUACCGUUCGAAUAGGGCGGUACCUUGACGGUACCUAACCAGAAAGCCACGGCUAACUACGUGCCAGCAGCCGCGGUAAUACGUAGGUGGCAAGCGUUGUCCGGAAUUAUUGGGCGUAAAGGGCUCGCAGGCGGUUUCUUAAGUCUGAUGUGAAAGCCCCCGGCUCAACCGGGGAGGGUCAUUGGAAACUGGGGAACUUGAGUGCAGAAGAGGAGAGUGGAAUUCCACGUGUAGCGGUGAAAUGCGUAGAGAUGUGGAGGAACACCAGUGGCGAAGGCGACUCUCUGGUCUGUAACUGACGCUGAGGAGCGAAAGCGUGGGGAGCGAACAGGAUUAGAUACCCUGGUAGUCCACGCCGUAAAACGAUGAGUGCUAAGUGUUAGGGGGUUUCCGCCCCCUUAGUGCUGCAGCUAACGCAUUAAGCACUCCGCCUGGGGGAGUACGGGUCGCAAGACUGAAACUCAAAGGAAUUGACGGGGGGCCCGCACAAGCGGUGGAGCAUGUGGUUUAAUUCGAAAGCAACGCGAAGAACCUUACCAGGUCUUGACAUCCUCUGACAAUCCUAGAGAUAGGACGUCCCCUUCGGGGGGCAGAGUGACAGGUGGUGCAUGGUUGUCGUCAGCUCGUGUCGUGAGAUGUUGGGUUAAGUCCCGCAACGAGCGCAACCCUUGAUCUUAGUUGCCAGCAUUCAGUUGGGCACUCUAAGGUGACUGCCGGUGACAAACCGGAGGAAGGUGGGGAUGACGUCAAAUCAUCAUGCCCCUUAUGACCUGGGCUACACACGUGCUACAAUGGACAGAACAAAGGGCAGCGAAACCGCGAGGUUAAGCCAAUCCCACAAAUCUGUUCUCAGUUCGGAUCGCAGUCUGCAACUCGACUGCGUGAAGCUGGAAUCGCUAGUAAUCGCGGAUCAGCAUGCCGCGGUGAAUACGUUCCCGGGCCUUGUACACACCGCCCGUCACACCACGAGAGUUUGUAACACCCGAAGUCGGUGAGGUAACCUUUUAGGAGCCAGCCUC
This 1424-nucleotide ribosomal RNA is filed under the name Bacillus subtilis. Its description in RNAcentral is "bacterial SSU rRNA". It matches the Rfam family "Bacterial small subunit ribosomal RNA". The record is from RNAcentral. Lineage: Bacteria; Bacillati; Bacillota; Bacilli; Caryophanales; Bacillaceae.